AUGCUCAUCGGCAGCACAUAUACUAAAAUUGGAAUGAUACAGAGAAAAUUAGCAUGGCCUCUGUGUAAGGAUGACACACAAAUUUGUGAAAUGUUCCAUAUAUUU
Small nuclear RNA from Rhinolophus ferrumequinum (greater horseshoe bat), 105 nucleotides. The record is from Ensembl. Lineage: Eukaryota; Metazoa; Chordata; Mammalia; Chiroptera; Rhinolophidae.